RNAcentral lists this ribosomal RNA (468 nucleotides) under uncultured bacterium. Its description in RNAcentral is "partial 16S ribosomal RNA". It matches the Rfam family "Bacterial small subunit ribosomal RNA", at positions 28 to 507 of the family's 1533-position model. The record is from RNAcentral.
GACGAACGCUGGCGGCGUGCUUAACACAUGCAAGUCGAACGGAAAGGCCCUGCUUUUGUGGGGUGCUCGAGUGGCGAACGGGUGAGUAACACGUGAGUAACCUGCCCUUGACUUUGGGAUAGCUUCAGGAAACUGGGGCUAAUACCGGAUAGGAGCUCCUGCUGCAUGGUGGGGGUUGGAAAGUCUCGGCGGUUGGGGAUGGACUCGCGGCUUAUCAGCUUGUUGGUGGGGUAGUGGCUUACCAAGGCUUUGACGGGUAGCCGGCCUGAGAGGGUGACCGGCCACAUUGGGACUGAGAUACGGCCCAGACUCCUACGGGAGGCAGCAGUGGGGAAUAUUGCACAAUGGGCGGAAGCCUGAUGCAGCAACGCCGCGUGCGGGAUGACGGCCUUCGGGUUGUAAACCGCUUUCGCCUGUGACGAAGCGUGAGUGACGGUAAUGGGUAAAGAAGCACCGGCUAACUACGUG